CCUACGGGAGGCAGCAGUGGGGAAUAUUGCACAAUGGGGGGAACCCUGAUGCAGCGACGCCGCGUGGGUGAAGGAGUAUUUCGGUAUGUAAAGCCCUAUCAGCAGGGAAGAACAAUCACGGUACCUGACUAAGACGCACCGGCUAAAUACGUGCCAGCAGCCGCGGUUAUACGGAUGGUGCAAGCGUUAUUCGGAUGUACUGGGGGUAAAGGGAUCGCAGGCGGCGCGUUAAGCCUGGUGUGAAAGCCCGCGGCCCAACCUCGGGACUGCAUGGGGAACUGGCGCGCUGGAGUGCCGGAGGGGUAGGCGGAAUUCCAAGUGUAGCAGUGAAAUGCGUAGAUAUUAGGAGGAACACCAGUGGCGAAGGCGGCCAACUGGAAGGUGACUGACGCUGAGGCUCGAAAGCGUGGGGAGCAAACAGGAUCAGAUACCCUGGUAGUC
Molecule: ribosomal RNA, 441 nt
Filed under: uncultured bacterium
Lineage: Bacteria
Description: partial 16S ribosomal RNA
Rfam family: Bacterial small subunit ribosomal RNA
Source: RNAcentral